This 602-nucleotide long non-coding RNA is filed under the name Ananas comosus (pineapple). Its description in RNAcentral is "long non-coding RNA (ACOM_LNC040113)". The record is from RNAcentral. Lineage: Eukaryota; Viridiplantae; Streptophyta; Magnoliopsida; Poales; Bromeliaceae.
GAAGCUCCAAAACAAGGAUCAAAACCCUUUAGAAGUGGUGAUCUUCCUCAAACCAAGCUCAACUCCAAGCACCAAGCUCUCUACCAUGGAGAAAAUAGCACAAAAGGCAAAAAGAAGAGUAAAUCCACCAAAAUCCAAGCCAACAAGGGGAUCAAAUCCAAAUGGGGUGGUAGAGGAAGCUCCCUUACCUCUCUCUCUGCUGUGGCAAGCUCAAAGAGUAGCCCUAGGGGCGUGGGUGGUAAUAUAGAAGUGCUACAAAAGCAAAAACACCCCUGCAGUUUCGAACUGUGUGAAAUCUGCCGCCUUGUACCGGUACACGGGCCCUUGUACCGGUACAAGGUCCACGAAAUCCAAACCCGAGGCUCGGGUUGCUGGGCUCUGCGGCUCUGUACCGGUACAAGCUCCGAUGGCUGUACCGGUACAACCAUCAACCUUGUACCGGUACAAGCACAACCUUGUACCGGUACAAGCCUGCCAGAACUCAAUCCGAGAGUCAGCCAAAUUCCGUUUUUUCGGGUUUUGGUGCAAGACUUUGUACCACAAAUCUCGGGACACGUGCCAUAGGUCGGAACACAGUCAACGACCCACCAGAAAAUCUGGAA